GUAACUAUGAAAAGUAACUAGAAACGCCCCAUGGGAAGGAAGAUGGCGGACUGAUCGAAGUUAUGUAGAGCACCUCAAGAUAAAAACAUAAUAUUCAAUAUCGGUAAAGUUAGAAUAAAAUAUUAGCACUUCACAAUCUGGUGGGUGAUAACCUUUAAUCUGGAUAAUAACACUAAACAAAUCUUAAGACUAGAGACAUUUAUCUACAAAUAUUACAAAAACAAGCAACACCCAAACAUGACGGAGGGUAAGACAGGGGAACCCAUCUCAACAUGACGGAGGGUAAGACAGGGGAACCCGUCUCAACAUGACGGAGGGUAAGACAGGGGAACCCAUCUCAACACGACGGAGGGUAAGACAGGGGAACCCAUCUCAACAUGACGGGGGGUAAGACAGGGGAACCCAUCUCAACAUGACGGGGGGUAAGACAGGGGAACCCAUCUCAACAUGACGGAGAGUCAGACAGGGGAACCCGUCUCAACAUGACGGAGGGUAAGACAGGGGAACCCAUCUCAACAUGACGGAGGGUAAGACAGGGGAACCCAUCUCAACAUGACGGAGGGUAAGACAGGGGAACCCAUCUCAACAUGACGGGGAGUCAGACAGGGGAACCCAUCUCAACAUGACGGAGGGUAAGACAGGGGAACCCAUCUCAACAUGACGGAGGGUAAGACAGGGGAACCCAUCUCAACAUGACGGAGAGUAAGACAGGGGAACCCAUCUCAACAUGACGGAGGGUAAGACAGGGGAACCCGUCUCAACAUGACGGAGGGUAAGACAGGGGAACCCAUCUCAACAUGACGGAGGGUAAGACAGGGGAACCCAUCUCAACAUGACGGAGGGUAAGACAGGGGAACCCAUCUCAACAUGACGGGAAGUAAGACAGGGGAACCCAUCUCAACAUGACGGGGGGUAAGACAGGGGAACCCAUCUCAACAUGACGGAGGGUAAGACAGGGGAACCCAUCUCAACAUGACGGGGGGCAAGACAGGGGAACCCAUCUCAACAUGACGGGGACAGGGGAACCCAUCUCAACAUGACGGGGACAGGGGAACCCAUCUCAACAUGACGGGGACAGGGGAACCCAUCUCAACAUGACGGGGACAGGGGAACCCAUCUCAACAUGACGGGGACAGGGGAACCCAUCUCAACAUGACGGGGACAGGGGAACCCAUCUCAACAUGACGGGGACAGGGGAACCCA
Molecule: long non-coding RNA, 1203 nt
Filed under: Salmo salar (Atlantic salmon)
Lineage: Eukaryota; Metazoa; Chordata; Actinopteri; Salmoniformes; Salmonidae
Description: lncRNA (ENSSSAG00000091402.1, ENSSSAG00000092896.1)
Source: RNAcentral